This 526-nucleotide ribosomal RNA is filed under the name uncultured bacterium. RNAcentral describes it as "bacterial SSU rRNA". It matches the Rfam family "Bacterial small subunit ribosomal RNA", at positions 984 to 1509 of the family's 1533-position model. The record is from RNAcentral.
ACAUCCAGCGAAUUCGGUAGAGAUACCUUAGUGCCUUCGGGAACGCUGAGACAGGUGCUGCAUGGCUGUCGUCAGCUCGUGUUGUGAAAUGUUGGGUUAAGUCCCGCAACGAGCGCAACCCUUUAUCCUUUGUUGCCAGCGGUCCGGCCGGGAACUCAAAGGAGACUGCCAGUGAUAAACUGGAGGAAGGUGGGGAUGACGUCAAGUCAUCAUGGCCCUUACGAGUAGGGCUACACACGUGCUACAAUGGCGCAUACAAAGAGAAGCGACCUCGCGAGAGCAAGCGGACCUCAUAAAGUGCGUCGUAGUCCGGAUUGGAGUCUGCAACUCGACUCCAUGAAGUCGGAAUCGCUAGUAAUCGUAGAUCAGAAUGCUACGGUGAAUACGUUCCCGGGCCUUGUACACACCGCCCGUCACACCAUGGGAGUGGGUUGCAAAAGAAGUAGGUAGCUUAACCUUCGGGAGGGCGCUUACCACUUUGUGAUUCAUGACUGGGGUGAAGUCGUAACAAGGUAGGCGUAGCGAG